AACGAACGCUGGCGGCAUGCCUAACACAUGCAAGUCGAACGAAGGCUUCGGCCUUAGUGGCGCACGGGUGCGUAACGCGUGGGAAUCUGCCCUUUGGUUCGGAAUAACAGCUGGAAACGGCUGCUAAUACCGGAUGAUGACGAAAGUCCAAAGAUUUAUCGCCAGAGGAUGAGCCCGCGUUGGAUUAGGUAGUUGGUGGGGUAAAGGCCUACCAAGCCGACGAUCCAUAGCUGGUCUGAGAGGAUGAUCAGCCACACUGGGACUGAGACACGGCCCAGACUCCUACGGGAGGCAGCAGUGGGGAAUAUUGGACAAUGGGCGCAAGCCUGAUCCAGCAAUGCCGCGUGAGUGAUGAAGGCCCUAGGGUUGUAAAGCUCUUUUACCCGGGAAGAUAAUGACUGUACCGGGAGAAUAAGCCCCAGCUAACUCCGUG
RNAcentral lists this ribosomal RNA (433 nucleotides) under uncultured bacterium. Its description in RNAcentral is "partial 16S ribosomal RNA". It matches the Rfam family "Bacterial small subunit ribosomal RNA", at positions 29 to 507 of the family's 1533-position model. The record is from RNAcentral.